AUGGCUGAACCGGUUAAGCUCAUCCGCACAUUAUGGAGCCCAUUCGUCCACCGCGCCGCUGCCGCCCUACAACUCAAAGGGGUGCCCUACGAGCUGGUCCUGGAAGAUCUCCAGAGCAACAGCGAGCUGCUGCUGAAGCACAACCCCAUCCACCAGAACCAGAAGGUGCCCGUUCUGGUCCACAGUGGCCGGGCCAUCCGCGAGUCCCUAAUCAUCAUUGAGUACAUCGACGAUGCCUUCGACGAACCGCCUCUCCUGCCGGCCAAUCCAUGGUUGCCAGAAAUUUGGGUUGAUCGGGUCGAGGAACGGGGUCGCGGGUCGAGGGUCGCCACCCCUCCAGAACAAGGAUGCCAGAAUCAUUCUGGAAGCUUUUUGGAAUUUUCUGAGAUAAAAACCGGAAAUGUUCCGGAGCUGCCGGAGCCACUUCAGAUGCGUUUCGCAGAUGAAAAUCACUAA
Molecule: ribosomal RNA, 456 nt
Filed under: Triticum aestivum (bread wheat)
Lineage: Eukaryota; Viridiplantae; Streptophyta; Magnoliopsida; Poales; Poaceae
Description: partial small subunit ribosomal RNA
Source: RNAcentral